Molecule: long non-coding RNA, 1838 nt
Organism: Betta splendens (Siamese fighting fish)
Lineage: Eukaryota; Metazoa; Chordata; Actinopteri; Anabantiformes; Osphronemidae
Exons: 5
Source: RefSeq, a predicted model, not a curated record
ACCUGACUGUCACCAUCUGCCUGAUGCGAGGAAGGAAAGCACAGACACAUUUACUCAUGCAGCUGCCCGUUGGAAGCAGACGCAGUCCGUUCUGCCUCCGUGUGAUUUCUGCUGUGGUUCUAGUUCAGGAAGCUGCACUAUGCAGGGAAUGUCACCAUAGCACACCGCUAUGUGCCUCAUGCCAGGUGGAGACAGAGCCGUGGAAAAUGCUCCAAUGAGGGACAGGUGGCACAUGUGGCUGCAGGUACGACCCGGUCUGAGGGAACACACACGCGGGAACGUGCUCAGACCGACGGCAGCAGGUCCAACACCCAAAGGCGCGACUCGCCGCUCCUCCAAUAAUCAGGCAGCAGGACGUCUUCCACUGUCGCCUGCAGCCAGAACAGAGGUCAGAGGUUCCAGUUCUUCCAUUAGCACAAGUUCAAGUUCAGUGGCACUGAUCCUGAGUCUGCGCUUUCAGCUCCUGGGAGUUCACAGCUACUGAACAACAACACCAAGCGCCUCCAUUAGUCACGACAGGCGCUUGAAAUACUGGUGUUUACCUUCACGGCCGCUGCUCACGCCAAUGGUGAUGAAUGGGGCCCACGCCGUUGGCUGCGAACCACACGGCUGCUCUUUACAUUAAUGUUCUGUUGUUGAAUGUGUGUGUGUUGUUGAUUGUUCAUGACGCGGGGAAGCACAUGCGUGUGCUCCACCACGAACACGCUGAAGCGUUUAUGUUCAUGUAGCAGCUAUGAAGGAGAGUCGCGCUGCAGCGGGUGAAGCCGAGCCGUCGGCACCGCAUGGGGUCCAACAGAGAACGAGGCUCGCGCCUCCUCAGACGUCUCCUUCAGGAGCCAAUCGCUGCGAAACUGCACUUUCUGUGAAUGAUGUGCGUAAAGUAAUGAAAAGCAGACUCCUAAUGGACGUGAAGGAUCCAUCCCUGGUCUCUGGUCUCACUCUCGACCCUCAGUAAUGGGAGACACCUGGAGAAAUCAUGAGUUAAUCAAAAGGAUCUGACAACAAUUUGUCCCAGAGAGCAGAGAUAAUGAGAUUGAAUCCGUGAGUGGAGCAACACGCUGCGGCUCUCGCUCCUGGACCCACACCAGCACAUGAGGAGGAGAACGCUGGGGUCACGUUCUGUGCAGCCCCACGUCAGCCGCCCGCUGCUCAUCGCAGUCAUCGGGCCUUCAUCUACUAACAUCACAUCAGGCGUGAGGGCGUUUCAUCCUGAAGAGGCAGAAACGAGCCGUGUUUCAGACUCGCGUCUCGUUUGAGUCUUGUAGCCACACGUUACAUAACUCUGCUAAAGGUUAUGAAGUAACAGUCUCAUCUGAUAUUUGCAUUUUAAAUAUUGUCUUAUGUAAAUGUCAAGCUAUGAUAGAGAAUGGUGGAAACGCUGCAGAUUUCAAUCCAGAGGAGCGUCGCAGUCUGUAGCAUCGACUGACCAGUCACGGUGGUCAAACCACAGCGUUCAACAGAAACGCCAACAGCAAACAGAGAUCAGAGUGAUUUCAGAUGUGGGGACUAAAACAACUGGAGCCUUGAGGGAAGUUUUCCUCAUUAUUCAUUUUAAAAGCGUGAGAUCCGUUUCUGGCCAAGGAGGAAAAGCAUCAGAGUGAAAGAGCAGCAACGUGUGUCUCACAUGUAAGAGGGAAAAAGUGAAGAGAUUAGAAUUAAAGGGCGAAGCUGAGCAGAGUCGGCGGUUGGAAGAACUUCACACGGCGUCUACGCAUCAUUGUUGAGCACAGACACGUGUGGCGGCGCCUUCAGCCACCGGCCGUUCCACGGAAAGCGGACCUGAGCGUCGCCGUGAGCCCAGCGUGGCUCCGAUGAAACCACUAACACGGGACAGACGC